Molecule: ribosomal RNA, 258 nt
Filed under: uncultured bacterium
Lineage: Bacteria
Description: partial 16S ribosomal RNA
Rfam family: Bacterial small subunit ribosomal RNA
Source: RNAcentral
UGGCGGACGGGUGAGUAACGCGUGGAAAACCUGCCGUAUACUGGGGGAUAACACUUAGAAAUAGGUGCUAAUACCGCAUAAGCGCACAGCUUCGCAUGAAGCGGUGUGAAAAACUCUGGUGGUAUACGAUGGUUCCGCGUCUGAUUAGCUAGUUGGUGGGGUAAUGGCCUACCAAGGCAACGAUCAGUAGCCGGCCUGAGAGGGCGACCGGCCACAUUGGGACUGAGACACGGCCCAAACUCCUACGGAAGGCAGCAG